This 257-nucleotide ribosomal RNA is filed under the name Bacillus sp. mrc49. RNAcentral describes it as "partial 23S ribosomal RNA". It matches the Rfam family "Bacterial large subunit ribosomal RNA", at positions 2670 to 2925 of the family's 2925-position model. Lineage: Bacteria; Bacillati; Bacillota; Bacilli; Caryophanales; Bacillaceae. The record is from RNAcentral.
AGCUGUCCUUAGUACGAGAGGACCGGGAUGGACGCACCGCUGGUGUACCAGUUGUCUUGCCAAAGGCAUAGCUGGGUAGCUACGUGCGGACGGGAUAAGUGCUGAAAGCAUCUAAGCAUGAAGCCCCCCUCAAGAUGAGAUUUCCCAUGGCGCAAGCUAGUAAGAUCCCUGAAAGAUGAUCAGGUUGAUAGGUCAGAGGUGGAAGCGUGGCGACAUGUGGAGCUGACUGAUACUAAUAGAUCGAGGACUUAACCAAC